UUUGUUUGUCUCUGCUUGGCUCUUCUUCUCUCUCUCUCUCUAGUCUGGGAGCUGGGGGCGUGUCUGCUGCGGGCUCUGCACUCACCUGAGUCCCAUCUGCAAUCAGCACACCUGACCUGCAUUCCUCAAUCACCGCUGCUUAAAGGAGAGGCUCAGACAUCCAGUCCCUGCCGGAUCGUUUGAUCUCCAAGACUCCCACCACCUCAGCAACCACCCGCCUGUUAGCUUCGGUUCCGCCCGCAGCCUGGAUACUCCCAGCUCACGGAUUUCCCUACAGUCCGGACCUGGAGAGAGCCCUCAGAGAGAUCUCAGACUUCCCUUGCUGAUUCUCUUUGAAUAAACUGUCUAACUCUGAUCUGCAUUUGGGUCCUCUCUGCCGGAAACCUGACAAGAAUAGAGGAAUUUAAACAAAAUGAGCCAUACUAUUUAAAUCAAAUCAUAUAAUUUGCCUGUGACAUAAAGUUAAGAGGUUUUUUUUUGUUUGUUUUUGAAUGACAUUUUGGUUUCUUCAUAUGUAAAAUAGAAUAACAUCUGGCAAACUGCAGAGCGCAUCCAUUGCCUCUUGAAAUUGAAAAGCUUACAAAUUGCCGUUGGAAUUCUUGUUUAAAAGUUUAAGGUACAAAUGUGGCAGAAUUUGUACUUUAACUUUUGCAAAUGUGACAUGCUCACAAGUCAUAUCAAAUGCCUUUGAUUGUUGUACAUUUUAACAUUUUAAAAUCAUAAAUAAAUUGUUACUACUGCAUAAACAAAGU
This is a long non-coding RNA of Micropterus salmoides (largemouth bass), 752 nucleotides long. RefSeq lists it as uncharacterized. The transcript has 2 exons. Lineage: Eukaryota; Metazoa; Chordata; Actinopteri; Centrarchiformes; Centrarchidae. The record is from RefSeq and is a predicted model, not a curated record.